CGCCGUUUAAUUUCCCGCCAACCGGGAUCAAGCCUCCCCCCUGUGUCGUUGUACCUUUGUUGCUUUGGCGGGCCGCGGGGCCCCGGCCCUGCCCCCGGCUCCGGCUGGGGCGCGCCCGCCAGAGGACCUCAAAACCUGAAUGUUAGUGUCGUCUGAGUGCUAUACAAUAGUUAAAACUUUCAACAACGGAUCUCUUGGUUCUGGCAUCGAUGAAGAACGCAGCGAAAUGCGAUAAGUAAUGUGAAUUGCAGAAUUCAGUGAAUCAUCGAAUCUUUGAACGCACAUUGCGCCCCUUGGUAUUCCGGGGGGCAUGCCUGUUCGAGCGUCAUUACAACCCUCAAGCUCUGCUUGGUCUUGGGCGUCACCGGUCCCCGGUGUGCCUUAAAAUCAGUGGCGGCGCCAUCUGGCUCUAAGCGUAGUACAUCCUCUUUUCUACAGACGCCCGGUGGAUGCUGGCCAGCAACCCCCCAUUCUAUCAAGGUUGACCUCGGAUCAGGUAGGGAUACCCGCUGAACUUAAGCAUAUCAAUAAGCGGAGGAA
Molecule: ribosomal RNA, 540 nt
Filed under: Ascomycota sp. 121
Lineage: Eukaryota; Fungi; Ascomycota
Description: eukaryotic LSU rRNA
Rfam family: 5.8S ribosomal RNA (bases 175-328)
Source: RNAcentral